This 524-nucleotide long non-coding RNA is filed under the name Setaria viridis. RNAcentral describes it as "long non-coding RNA (SVIR_LNC004803)". The record is from RNAcentral. Lineage: Eukaryota; Viridiplantae; Streptophyta; Magnoliopsida; Poales; Poaceae.
UCCGCGGCAUGCUUUCCUCCUCACGCAGAGCAGCAAUGUUCUCUUUCUUCCUCGUUUUUUCCCUCACCGCCUGCUUUUUUUUCCUCCACAGCUUCCCUCCUGGCUGCCUCUCACCGCCGGCCUGUAAAUAGCAGAUGCCGAGCUGCCAGGCCACCAUCCUCGUCGUCCGGACACCAUUCUCAUCGGGGGGCGCCAUCUCCAUCAGACAGGAAGGGUACUUCCGCGAAUUAGCUGCGGAGGAGGUGGAGAAGCCGGGCAAGCCAAUUUUUUUUGGCUCGCGAUGUGCAGUACAAAUCCUUGAUCGGCUUUUGCACAGCUUCAGCAGUGAAGCCUUUUUCAAACCAACCGUUUGGUGCAGCUUGUCCUGAAGCCGCUGCAGAAGAUGUUGAGGAAGCCGUGCAAAAAAGCUCCUAAUAUUUACAUGUACACAUGUUUUUAUAAAUAAUUAUGGAGGAGGUGAACUAUUAGAUAAAGUAAUAUUAUUUCAGUGUGAUGCUAAUCUUGAGCAAGCUUUAAUAUACAGA